Molecule: ribosomal RNA, 454 nt
Filed under: uncultured Sphingobacteriales bacterium
Lineage: Bacteria; Pseudomonadati; Bacteroidota; Sphingobacteriia; Sphingobacteriales
Description: bacterial SSU rRNA
Rfam family: Bacterial small subunit ribosomal RNA
Source: RNAcentral
GCGACAAGCGUGGAGCAUGUGGUUAAUUCGAUGAUACGCGAGGAACCUUACCUGGGCUCAAAUGUAUGUUGACGUAUUCUGAAAGGGAUACUUCUUCGGACAAUAUACAAGGUGCUGCAUGGUUGUCGUCAGCUCGUGCCGUGAGGUGUCGGGUUAAGUCCCAUAACGAGCGCAACCCUAUCAUUAGUUGCCAUCAGGUCAAGCUGGGGACUCUAAUGAAACUGCCUACGCAAGUAGUGAGGAAGGUGGGGAUGACGUCAAAUCAGCACGGCCCUUACGUCCAGGGCUACACACGUGCUACAAUGGCCGGUACAAAGGGCAGCUACCUGGUGACAGGAUGCUAAUCUCAAAAGCCGGUCUCAGUUCGGAUCGGAGUCUGCAACCCGACUCCGUGAAGUUGGAAUCGCUAGUAAUCGUGGAUCAGCAUGCCACGGUGAAUACGUUCCCGGGCCUU